CGGCGAGUGAAGCGGGAAGAGCUCAAAUUUGAAAUCUUAAAGGGUUUCCCUUUACGAAUUGUAGUUUAAAGAAGUGUUUUCUGUUGAGGUUUUGGUAAAAGUUCUUUGGAAUAGGACAUCAUAGAGGGUGAGAAUCCCGUAUUUGACCUUUACUUUCAACUUUGUGAUACACUUUCAAAGAGUCGGAUUGUUUGGGAAUGCAGUCCAAAAUGGGUGGUAAAUUUCAUCUAAAGCUAAAUAUUGGCGAGAGACCGAUAGCGAACAAGUACCGUGAGGGAAAGAUGAAAAGAACUUUGAAAAGAGAGUUAAACAGUACGUGAAAUUGUCAAAAGGGAAGCGUUUGACACCAGUGUUGUUUUUCUGAAAAUCAAUUAAAGAACUGUUUAUGCUAAGUUGUUUAGACUUUAUCAGCUAACUGUUUAGUUUUGAGCUUUUCUUUAAUGCACUUUUCAGUUAACAAGUCAACAUCAAUUUCUUUUGCUGUAAAAAAGCUUGAGGAAGGUGGCUUGAGAUUCGUCUUAAGUGUUUAUAGCCUCUUGCCUAUGCAGUCGGAGAGAUUGAGGUCUGCAGCGUAGAUCCUUCGGGGCUAAAUGCAUUUGUGCUAAGUUAUAGCAUUUUAUAGACAACUUGUUGACUAUGAUUUGUCUUGUAGCUUACUCGCUUAUGUUAUUUUACCUACGCUUAGGAUGUUGACAAAAUGGUUUUAAACGACCCGUCU
Molecule: ribosomal RNA, 718 nt
Filed under: Neocallimastigaceae sp.
Lineage: Eukaryota; Fungi; Neocallimastigomycota; Neocallimastigomycetes; Neocallimastigales; Neocallimastigaceae
Description: partial large subunit ribosomal RNA
Rfam family: Eukaryotic large subunit ribosomal RNA
Source: RNAcentral